AUGGCCCCCUCCCCUUCCCUCACAAUGGAACAACCUAAAGCUCCCUGUCUAGUAACCAUGUCUGAAACUCUGAAACACCGUGGGACUAUAAAGCAUAGGUUCUCGACCCUCAGAUGGAACAAAGAAAUUUCAAAUUUAACUAAUAAACAAAGAGGAUAUGUUUCGAAACAUGAUCUGGAUAAUCUGUUGCACAUCAAUAAUCAUCUCAUUGUGCCCGUCGGUUUCAUGCAGUGGCUUGUCGACCAUACUCGCUCAAAUGCUGUCUUCAAGUACAAGAACAAAUUUAUUCAAAUCCGGAGGGAAAUGGUCAAUCAGGUUUUUGGAAUUCAAUCUGGUUCUGAACCUUUUCCUAUCAAGAGCAAUGAUCCUGUUGUAGUAGCAAAAGUUAAGGCACUAAAUGAUAAAUAUAUAUCUGGAAGUAGGACCAUUCCAAUAGAUAACAUUGUCAAAAUGAUGAAGAAUGAUGAAACUGAGGAAGGGUUUAUUUGCAGUUUCCUGUUUCCGUUCAUCUCAACAGUUCUUUGUCCAAUCACUUGCAACUACGCGAACUGGAAGCUUUUGUACGGUCUGCAUGACAUUUCAAAGUUGCAUAAUUAUGAUUUGGCAAGUUAUUGCAUCAAUCACCUCAGCGAAGAGAUCGAAAGCUUCCAUGAAAAUCUUUUUAACAUAGUGGAAAUUGAUUUGAACGAUCCUAUCUGGGUUGGCGACUGCCUGCCCAUGCUUGAUAAUGCUGAUUUACUUCAUGUAGCUAAUGUUGAUUUCAAAAGGACAACUAACAAACCAGUAGCCUAUGGAGCACUACCUCUUCGGGACAUUUCGACCAAACCAUAUGGAGCUCGUCCACUAGCAUUGGUUGAGGAUACAGGUUUCAAUGCCAAACAAGGAACAUUGCCCACAGGACCACUGGAAGAUGUUGGGUUGAAAUCAUCCAACCAACCUGAAGUAGUGCAAGUUAUAUCAGAGGUGGUCGCCAAGCAUGAUGGGUUGUGCAGAAAAAGUCAUGAGAAACACAUGUCUCAAAUGCGUGCAGAUUUGGCAAGCAAUGUGCCUUCUAUCAUUCCAAGCACCAAUUCUAUGAUGGCAAAUACUACAGCCCCUCCUUUUAUUAUCAGCCAAUAUCAAGGGACAAUAGCAACUCAGCCAACAGUGGACAAUAACAAUCAGACAAUGGCUGCUGUCAGUCAAGAUCAGCAACUUGACAAGAACAACAUUAUCUUCCAUUCAAGUCCCACUAUUUUAGAAGAUGACAUUGAUGUUGUCAAACCCAUAGGACACUCAGAACUUAGACUUCCACAUAAAGAUUGUUCUUCUACGAGAGUGGUUGCUGAUAUUGAGCACGUCAUAACCCUUGCUAUGAGCUACGCUGAUGGUACUACUUCGGGAAACGAUGUAGGAUCGAUGCCCUCUGAUGUUUAUGAGACAAAACUAGAUGUUGACAACUUUUACCAAAAGUACCUAAACUACAAGUUCUUCAAAGACAAUCCCACUGUUCUAGAUUUCAAUGACCUAACGGUGUCAUAUGAAAAGUUCUACAACGGUCUAAAACCAAUUGGCAAAGUGAAUGAUGAAGUCAUGGAUGCCUAUGUUGCAGUUUUCAACCAUGGGAAUUUGAAUCCUGAUCCAAAAUCAAAGAAUCCUUCAAAAUUUUCUUUCCCAACACACUUUACAACUAAAUUGCUUGUGGAGCCUGCAAAAUUCAGCACCAGGUCUUGCCUUCGAGAAUUCAAGAGAAUCAACACAGGAAACAACCUGCACAAAUGUGACUUGCUUUUUCUCCGUAGAGUAAAUUCAUUCCAUUGGACUUUCUUUUGCAUCAACAAUCUGUUAACAAUCAACUUCUUUGAUUCAGCAAAUAGCGUCAAUGCUGAUGAACUCAACAUCCUCACAACAAACCUGAUUACCAACCUCAGCACUCUAUUCAAGGGAUCUAACUGCAGCUUCAAAAAUAUAGAAGAAUUUGUAAAGUUUUCUCCUGAAAACUAUCCCAAACAACCUAACUUGCAUGAUUGCGCUAUCUAUGGCAUGCUGUAUAUGGAUUAUUGGAAUGGAAAAGACAUGAAGGACUUUGAAAAAGAAAUCGUUCCCCAAUUCCGUAAGCUCAUUGCAUACAAGAUAGGAAACUUCAAUCAGAACAAGUUCCAGUUUGAGAAGAUUGAUGCUGAUAAUUUUGAGAAACUAGCAUCGACAAAGAAGAGUACCUAUGGUUUUCCAUAUUUGCAGCAUUUUGUCCUAACCUCAGGCCACAAAUUUGUCAACAACUUCUCCUAA
This 2268-nucleotide ribosomal RNA is filed under the name Triticum aestivum (bread wheat). RNAcentral describes it as "partial small subunit ribosomal RNA". Lineage: Eukaryota; Viridiplantae; Streptophyta; Magnoliopsida; Poales; Poaceae. The record is from RNAcentral.